GGAAGAGGCUCUGGGCCUUCAGUCCCACUGUGGCACCCUGUGCUGGAUGUUGCUUUUGUAGGAAAUGAGACUUUACUUGCACCAACUGUCUCUUUAGAGCCACCUGUUUUAGUCAGUGUGUGAGGGAUGGAGAUGGAUAGGGUGUCUAACAUGGCACAAGUGGGACACACUGGCACCUUCACUGCUAGACCAAGCCCUAAGUAUGUGCAUUGUUUGAAUAACCUGCAAGGGCUAGAAGAGGAAAACAGCCUUAAGUUCUCUGCAAUCCAGGAUGGAUGAAAUGGUC
Ochotona princeps (American pika) is the source of this 286-nucleotide long non-coding RNA. RefSeq lists it as uncharacterized. The transcript is spliced from 3 exons. Lineage: Eukaryota; Metazoa; Chordata; Mammalia; Lagomorpha; Ochotonidae. The record is from RefSeq and is a predicted model, not a curated record.